This 497-nucleotide ribosomal RNA is filed under the name uncultured bacterium. RNAcentral's name for it is "partial 16S ribosomal RNA". It matches the Rfam family "Bacterial small subunit ribosomal RNA", at positions 28 to 507 of the family's 1533-position model. The record is from RNAcentral.
GAUGAACGCUGGCGGCGUGCCUAAUACAUGCAAGUCGAGCGAACAGACGAGGAGCUUGCUCCUCUGACGUUAGCGGCGGACGGGUGAGUAACACGUGGAUAACCUACCUAUAAGACUGGGAUAACUUCGGGAAACCGGAGCUAAUACCGGAUAAUAUAUUUAACCGCAUGGUUCAAUAGUGAAAGACGGUUUUGCUGUCACUUAUAGAUGGAUCCGAGCCGCAUUAGCUAGUUGGUAAGGUAACGGCUUACCAAGGCAACGAUGCGUAGCCGACCUGAGAGGGUGAUCGGCCACACUGGAACUGAGCCACGCUCCAGACUCCUGAGGGAGGCAGCAGUAGAAAAUAUUCAGCAAUGGGCGAGAGCCUGACGGAGCGACGCCGCGUGAGUGAUGAAGAUGUUCGGAUCGUAAAACUCUGUUAUUAGGGAAGAACAAAUGUGUAAGUAAAUAUGCACGUAUUGACGGUACCUAAUCAGAAAGCCACGGCUAACUACGUG